UACAGAGGGUGCAAGCGUUGUUCGGAAUUACUGGGCGUAAAGCGCGUGUAGGCGGUUUUUCAAGUCCUGUGUGAAAGCCCUGGGCUCAACCCAGGAAGUGCGCAGGAUACUGGAUGACUGGAGUGGCGGAGAGGAUGGCGGAAUUCCCGGUGUAGAGGUGAAAUUCGUAGAUAUCGGGAGGAACACCUGUGGCGAAGGCGGCCAUCUGGACGUCAACUGACGCUGAGACGCGAAAGCGUGGGUAGCAAACAGG
This 253-nucleotide ribosomal RNA is filed under the name uncultured bacterium. RNAcentral describes it as "partial 16S ribosomal RNA". It matches the Rfam family "Bacterial small subunit ribosomal RNA", at positions 524 to 776 of the family's 1533-position model. The record is from RNAcentral.